This 198-nucleotide ribosomal RNA is filed under the name uncultured bacterium. RNAcentral's name for it is "partial 16S ribosomal RNA". It matches the Rfam family "Bacterial small subunit ribosomal RNA", at positions 328 to 539 of the family's 1533-position model. The record is from RNAcentral.
ACGCUCGACACCUACGGGGAGGUAGCAGUGGGGGAUAUUGCACAAUGGGGGAAACCCUGAUGCAGCAACGCCGCGUGAAGGAAGAAGGUCUUCGGAUUGUAAACUUCUGUCCUCAGGGAAGAUAAUGACGGUACCUGAGGAGGAAGCUCCGGCUAACUACGUGCCAGCAGCCGGGUAAUCUGAGCGGGCUGGCAAGGC